AUGCAUAGAUAAUGUGCCCCUUAGUUCGGGAUAGCCACUGGAAACGGUGAUUAAUACCGGAUACUCCUUCUUGUUAUAAGACAAGUCGGGAAAGUUUUUCGCUAAGGGAUCAGUCUAUGUUCCAUCAGCUUGUUGGUGAGGUAAUGGCUCACCAAGGCUAUGACGGAUAUCUGGUUUGAGAGGAUGAUCAGACACACUGGAACUGAGACACGGUCCAGACUCCUACGGGAGGCAGCAGUGAGGAAUAUUGCACAAUGGAGGAAACUCUGAUGCAGCAACGCCGCGUGGAGGAUGACGCAUUUCGGUGUGUAAACUCCUUUUAUUAGGGAAGAUAAUGACGGUACCUAAUGAAUAAGCACCGGCUAACUCCGUGCCAGCAGCCGCGGUAAUACGGAGGGUGCAAGCGUUACUCGGAAUCACUGGGCGUAAAGGGUGCGUAGGCUGGCUUUUAAGUCAGAUGUGAAAUCCAAUGGCUCAACCAUUGAACUGCAUUUGAAACUGAAAGCCUAGAGUUCAGAAGGGGCAGAUGGAAUUAGUGGUGUAGGGGUAAAAUCCGUAGAUAUCACUAGGAAUAUCAAAAGCGAAGGCGAUCUGCUGGGAUGAUACUGA
Molecule: ribosomal RNA, 609 nt
Filed under: uncultured bacterium
Lineage: Bacteria
Description: bacterial SSU rRNA
Rfam family: Bacterial small subunit ribosomal RNA
Source: RNAcentral